CCGAGUUUUUACAACUCCCAAAACCCCUGUGAAACAUACCACUUGUUUGCCUCGGCGGAUCAGCCCCGCUCCCGGUAAAAACGGGGACGGCCCGCCAGAGGGACCCCUAAACUCUGUUUUCUAUAUGUAAACUUCUGAGUAAAAACCAUAAAUAAAUCAA
Molecule: unclassified non-coding RNA, 160 nt
Filed under: soil metagenome
Description: partial internal transcribed spacer 1
Source: RNAcentral